CAGUUCUGCAACUUACACCUUUAUAGUAACUGCAGAGAUGUUACUUGCAGAAUCCUUUCAUGUAGAUCAGGUGGAAGGACAAAACUACUCAAGGGGAGGACCAUGGUGGCUUGACUGAUGCCCAAGACUUUCCUAUGAGCUGGGACUUCUCAGUCUUCUGCGUUUUUGACAGUGACAUGGAAAGUCACCGUAACAGAGCCAAGGAGCUGCCACUUGCAGGUAAGCAAAAUCCUUUCCUAUGGCACUGAUGUGUCAGUUCUUAUUAAGCAGAUCAGAAUUUCAGCAAAGAUUAUGAAAAACAGGCAUGUGGGAGGUUGAUACCAGAUAUGGCUAAUGGGAGAUCGGAACAAUGAUGUAUACAUUAUAUUACUUGAAGUUUAUGUGUAAACAUAAAUAUGUUUAAUUUAUAAGAAUGUCUUUUUAACAGCUGAGCUAGCCAGUAGCUGCGUCCUCAGUAGCCCUUCUUUCCAG
This 471-nucleotide long non-coding RNA is filed under the name Gallus gallus (chicken). The record is from RNAcentral. Lineage: Eukaryota; Metazoa; Chordata; Aves; Galliformes; Phasianidae.